AUGCCUCCUACUGAUACUUUAGAACAAUAUUUGCUAGACCAUGAGAAUGAUAUGCACUUACAUGAAAGAAAUGAAAUAGAUAAAAUAUUCUUUGAACAACAACCUAUCCUUAGACACAAUUUGCCUAUUGAAACUCUAGGAGGUCGUCCUCCACCUAAAGGUGAUCUUGUGUUUCAAUUAAAACAAUUGUCUAACACUUUGAAAUAUGCUUAUCUUAAUGAGAAAAAGAUAUAUCAUGUUAUUAUUAGUGCUAACAUUUCAGAACAUGAAGAAGAAAGAUUAUUGAAAAUUCCGAAGAAGCACUGUGCUGCUAUUGGAUAUACUCUUGAUGAUCUUAAGGGCAUUAGUCCCACUCUCUGUCAGCACAAGAUUAAUAUGGAA
This 381-nucleotide ribosomal RNA is filed under the name Triticum aestivum (bread wheat). Its description in RNAcentral is "partial small subunit ribosomal RNA". The record is from RNAcentral. Lineage: Eukaryota; Viridiplantae; Streptophyta; Magnoliopsida; Poales; Poaceae.